GCCAAUAUGGUGUAAUGGUCUGAGCACUAGACUCCGACUCCAGAGACCAGGGUUCAAAUCCCAGCUCAGUCA
Phrynosoma platyrhinos (Desert horned lizard) is the source of this 72-nucleotide non-coding RNA. Lineage: Eukaryota; Metazoa; Chordata; Lepidosauria; Squamata; Phrynosomatidae. The record is from the annotation of a GenBank genome assembly.